AACGCACAUUGCGCCCCUUGGUAUUCCAUGGGGCAUGCCUGUUCGAGCGUCAUUUGUACUCUCAAGCUUUGCUUGGUGUUGGGUGCUUUGUCUAUGCCUUUGCGUUUGGACUCACCUCAAAACAAUUGGCAGCCAGUGUAUUGGUGUAGAAGCGCAGCACAAUUUGCGCCUCUAGCUGGUCAUCACUGGCGUCCACAAGCCUAUUUUAACACGCUUGACCUCGGAUCAGGUAGGGAUACCCGCUGAACUUAA
RNAcentral lists this unclassified non-coding RNA (252 nucleotides) under uncultured fungus. Its description in RNAcentral is "partial contains 5.8S ribosomal RNA, internal transcribed spacer 2, and large subunit ribosomal RNA". The record is from RNAcentral. Lineage: Eukaryota; Fungi.